CCUACGGGUGGCUGCAGUGGGGAAUCUUGCGCAAUGCGCGAAAGCGUGACGCAGCAACGCCGCGUGAGGGAAGACGGCUUUCGGGUUGUAAACCUCUUUCAGUUGGGACGAAGGUUCGGCGGUGAAUAGCCGUUCGGACUGACGGUACCUUCAGAAGAAGCCCCGGCUAACUACGUGCCAGCAGCCGCGGUAAUACGUAGGGGGCAAGCGUUGUCCGGAAUCAUUGGGCGUAAAGAGCGCGUAGGCGGUCCGGUAAGUCCGUUGUGAAAGUCGGG
This 275-nucleotide ribosomal RNA is filed under the name uncultured bacterium. Its description in RNAcentral is "partial 16S ribosomal RNA". It matches the Rfam family "Bacterial small subunit ribosomal RNA", at positions 338 to 605 of the family's 1533-position model. The record is from RNAcentral.